GGUAAAGUGGCUGAGUAAGCAUUAGACUGUAAAUCUAAAGACAAAGGUUAAGUCCUUUUUUUGCCA
RNAcentral lists this transfer RNA (66 nucleotides) under Cabassous tatouay (greater naked-tailed armadillo). Its description in RNAcentral is "tRNA-Tyr". It matches the Rfam family "tRNA". From Rfam's summary of the family: Transfer RNA (tRNA) molecules are approximately 80 nucleotides in length. Lineage: Eukaryota; Metazoa; Chordata; Mammalia; Cingulata; Chlamyphoridae. The record is from RNAcentral.